Molecule: ribosomal RNA, 547 nt
Filed under: uncultured bacterium
Lineage: Bacteria
Description: bacterial SSU rRNA
Rfam family: Bacterial small subunit ribosomal RNA
Source: RNAcentral
UGGGGAAUAUUGCGCAAUGGGGGGAAUCCUGACGCAGCCAUGCCGCGUGAAUGAAGAAGGCCUUCGGGUUGUAAAGUUCUUUCGGUAUUGAGGAAGGUUGAUGUGUUAAUAGCACAUCAAAUUGACGUUAAAUACAGAAGAAGCACCGGCUAACUCCGUGCCAGCAGCCGCGGUAAUACGGAGGGUGCGAGCGUUAAUCGGAAUAACUGGGCGUAAAGGGCACGCAGGCGGUUAUUUAAGUGAGGUGUGAAAGCCCUGGGCUUAACCUAGGAAUUGCAUUUCAGACUGGGUAACUAGAGUACUUUAGGGAGGGGUAGAAUUCCACGUGUAGCGGUGAAAUGCGUAGAGAUGUGGAGGAAUACCGAAGGCGAAGGCAGCCCCUUGGGAAUGUACUGACGCUCAUGUGCGAAAGCGUGGGGAGCAAACAGGAUUAGAUACCCUGGUAGUCCACGCUGUAAACGCUGUCGAUUUGGGGAUUGGGCUUAGAGCUUGGUGCCCGUAGCUAACGUGAUAAAUCGACCGCCUGGGGAGUACGGCCGCAAGGUUA